Molecule: ribosomal RNA, 407 nt
Filed under: uncultured bacterium
Lineage: Bacteria
Description: partial 16S ribosomal RNA
Rfam family: Bacterial small subunit ribosomal RNA
Source: RNAcentral
GAUGAACGCUAGCUACAGGCUUAACACAUGCAAGUCGCGGGACCGGCGCACGGGUGAGUCACGCGUAUCCACCCUGCCCUUCACCACGGGAUAACCCGGCGAAAGUCGGACUAAUACCGUAUGGUGAGGGAUGGGGAUGCGUCCGAUUAGCUUGACGGCGGGGUAACGGCCCACCGGGGCUACGAUCGGUAGGGGUUCUGAGAGGAAGGUCCCCCACAGUGGAACUGAGACACGGUCCAGACUCCUACGGGAGGCAGCAGUGAGGAAUAUUGGUCAAUGGGCGUAAGCCUGAACCAGCCAAGUAGCGUGCAGGACGACGGCCUAUGGGUUGUAAACUGCUUUUAUGCGGGGAUAGGUACCGCAUGAAUAAGGACCGGCUAAUUCCGUGCCAGCAGCCGCGGUAAUUC